UGGUGGCUGACUAAAUACUUUUUUUCCCCCACUGUAUAAACAUCAAGCUGAAAAAUAAAACCAAAGUUUUUUCGGUAACACUUUACUUGAAGGGGUGUGCAUAAGACUGACAUGACACCUUCAUAAUCAUGACAUGACAUGUCAUGAAUAUGAAGGAGGUUUUAUGCAUGUUUAUGACGACUGUCAUUAAGUGUCAUUCGCUCAGUUAUGUCAUUUUUAAUGCAAGACGGAAAAUGGUAAGAGAGUAUGCUACACAUGUAAAAAAAUCUCAAAACAAAACUGAGUUAAAAGAUUCUGUUAUUAUAUUUCAUGCUAAUAUCUGUAACCUGUUUCUAAGGUGAAUUUAGCCGUCAACUGGAAGAGAAAGAAGCACUUGUUUCACAGUUAACUAGAGGAAAACAGGCUUUUACUCAGCAAAUUGAGGAUCUCAAAAGACAUGUUGAGGAAGAAGUCAAGGCCAAGAAUGCUCUGGCCCAUGCAGUUCAGUCUGCCCGCCAUGACUGUGAUUUGCUCAGAGAGCAGUAUGAGGAGGAGCAGGAGGCCAAAGCUGAACUCCAGCGUGGGAUGUCUAAGGCCAACAGUGAAGUGGCCCAGUGGAGAGCCAAAUAUAGUUAAACUCUGCGGACCCGGAUACGGGUCCAAAGUCACGUUAAAAAUGUGUAUGCUUCAUUUACAUAGCCUUCCUUAUAUGGUAUCAGCCCAUAUAUGGAUUCAUUUGAAAGCUUGGAGUGUCUUCUUUACAAAGAAUACCAUUCCUUUUGGUUUUUAUAUUCAUAAAGCAGUAAAAUUAAGCUUAGAAAUGUAUUCGUCCCACACACGAUUUUCCGCCUAGCCAUUGCAAGGCAAGGCAAGGCAAGGCAAGUUUAUUUGUAUAGCACAUUUCAUACACAAUGGUAAUUCAAAGUGCUUUACAUAAAAUGAAAUAAAAACAAUAAUCACAACAAUAAAACAAGGAAUUUAAAAACUUUGGGGAAAAAAAUAAAUAAAUAAAAAAAUUGAUUUAAGAGGUUUAAAAUGAAUUUAAGAAGACGA
This 1032-nucleotide long non-coding RNA is filed under the name Sinocyclocheilus grahami. RNAcentral describes it as "lncRNA (ENSSGRG00000013682.1)". The record is from RNAcentral. Lineage: Eukaryota; Metazoa; Chordata; Actinopteri; Cypriniformes; Cyprinidae.